AUAAAUGUGAUGUUAAAAUUUUCACUAUUUCCUCCAACAUUUUUUACUCUCCCUCAAAUUUUUAUUGGGCCAAAAAAUAAUAAUUCAUAAACAUAAAUUUUUCAAAAAAAAAAAUUCAUAAAUCAGAAAAAUCAUCAUCUGUGAAGAACAACGCAUUUUCCCGCAAAUCAGAAAGAAAAUCUUCCGUGGAGAACGAUGCCAUUUCUCCUAGUAUGAAACUUCUCAAGAACGAUCGAUCAAGGACAGAAAGGGUUUUCUCAAGAUCUCUGGUUGAAUAUUUUUCAGUUUCUCAUAGAUUUAUCAUUGUUCCUCAAGGACAGAAAGGGUUUUGUUUGAAUCUGGGAUUAUUAGGAAAUAAGGCAACAAAAGUUUUCUUUGCGUCGGUUUCGUUUUUGCGUGUGAAAUACCUGCUCCAACAAUUUUAGCGUCGGUUUAGUUUAUGCGCCACAUCGAUUUGGUAGUCUAUUCGUCCACCCUCCCUUUAUCUUCUUCUUUAAUUGACAGGCCACCUCUUUCUCUUUUUUCUUCCCUAUUAUUUAGUUUAGUUGUACUCAAUAUUCACUUCUUAUUUCAAUGAAGUUUCAGUUUCUUAAUUUGAAUUCGAAUUAUUAAUUUCAGGCAUUCGUUUAAUUUUGGAUUCUGUUUUUAUUGCAUUCAGGCGGUGGAGGAUCCAAGUAAUAGUGCCUAAGAUUUGAACUUGGAAUCUUAAGCGUGCUUGUGCUCGGCUAUCCUUAAGCUAGGGUUGACACAAAUACGAGGGUGCAUGCUGUUUAUUCGAUCACUUGUGUGCAAAUGGAGUAUUCUCAUUGGACUCGUGAUAUGUAAGAAGAUGUAAUUCCACUUUGUAGGUAUGCUCGUAUCUGAUGAAUGUUGUAACUGAUAGAUUAAGAUCACUUCAAUGACCAACAUAGUUGAAGAUAAAACCACAAUCUUUAUCAUAUAGUAUAUGAACUGGUUAGUCAUUAAGCUAUCUGUAGAUACCAGAAAGAACUUCAAGAAUUGGCUAAUAUAUUUCCUGCUUCCGAAUUAUUGCAUACAGCCCCCUAGGCCAGGGGUUCUGUUGUGGGAAGGAAAUCACAGAAAGCUUGCCUGCGGAAAGUCAGAUGGAUCUUGCUGCUUUAGAGUAUUUUUCAUAUGUAGAUCUUCCACCACACUAUAUGGAUUCUUUCAAGUCGUAUGACCCAGUAGGAGGUGAGCAUUUCAACGCUUUUGCGGCUGGUCUAAUACAACAGACCGUGUAGUUACAGUUAGUCAUGGAUAUCCAUGAGAAUCUAAGACUUCGGAAGGUGGUUGCGGAUUCAUCAGAUAAUUAAUGAGAACGAUUAGAAAUUACGGGGUAUCGUGAGUGGGAUGAUACAAAAGAGUGGAACCCUGAGUUGGACGUUCACUUCAAGUCAGAUGGUUACGUGAAUUGCUCCUUGGGCACACUGCAGACUGGCAAGCCUUAAUGUAAACCUGCAUUGCUGAACAAACUUGGUUUACCAGUUCGUGAUGAUUUCCUACUGAUCGGUUUCAUUGGGAGGCUUGACCCACAAAAGGGUGUUGAUCUGAUUGCUGAGGAAGUGCCUUGGAUGAUGGAUCAGGAUGUACAACUGGUCAUGUUGGGUACGGGGAGGCCUGACCUUGAACAGAUGCUAAGGCAAAUUGAGUGUCAACACAAUUAUAAAAUUUGAGGCUGCGUUGGUAUCUCUGUGAAGACUUCUCAUGGUUUAACUGUUUAUGUAGACAUUCUGUUCAUGCUAAGCCUAUUGUCAUAGUUUUUUUUGACUGCAUUUGAUUUUGUGGAAUUAUUAAUAGUAAAUAUCUUUAAGCAAUCACUUUCUAAGUAUUGAUUGUACAAGAAAUGUUUUUGUAACUUAUUCGUAAUAUAUAGCUUUGAUUUAUUUAUUGGCUAA
This is a non-coding RNA of Solanum lycopersicum (tomato), 1895 nucleotides long. Lineage: Eukaryota; Viridiplantae; Streptophyta; Magnoliopsida; Solanales; Solanaceae. The record is from RefSeq and is a predicted model, not a curated record.